GAAAUUAUAAUCCGGCGAGGGGAAAGGCGGAGAGUUGUAGCUGGCCUCCAGGGGCAUGUGCACGCUGUCUUCCCGACCUUUCGCCGUAUGGGCGCGGGGCGCCCCGCGUCUUCAUAUACCCCUUCGUGUAGAAAGUCUUUGAAUGUUAUACGAUCAUCGAGUCGCGACUUCUAGGAGACGCGAUUCUUUGAGACAAAAGUUAUCACAACUUUCAGCAACGGAUCUCUUGGCUCU
This 234-nucleotide unclassified non-coding RNA is filed under the name rhizosphere metagenome. RNAcentral's name for it is "partial ribosomal RNA internal transcribed spacer region". The record is from RNAcentral.